GAAGCACAGAGUCCUGCCGAACAUCCAAUUACUGAAGUAUUCCCUGCACCCAGCCAGCUUCCUAUAACACCUCCUAUGCGAAGUUCUUUUGAUUUAGAAUUGUGACUACAGAAGGAGCACAACCCACAGUCUCCAAUGGCCGUGCUUCUCCUGUAAGUCACCAUGGGGUUAAAUUCUGUGAUUUCAACGUGGUUCCUGAUCCAGUCCUUGACUGUACCACGGCUGUUGACCAUGGCUCUUCUGCGUUCAAUACCUGGCGGCUGGCCUUGGGCUUGACUGACCUCUGGAGGCGGAAAAACACUGGGUCCUCAUUCUUCUUUUACUCUGCGUGCCAUAGGUCGUUUUCUUGCAUAGAUCUGGCUUUGGCGUCCGAGGAUCUUCUUCCGGUGAUUCAGGAAGCUAUAAAAGGAAUCGCCAAACAGGGAUUGUCAGUCUGCAUUGAGCAUUGAAAAGGAAAGUGUGGUUUGUGGCUCUUUGCUGUCAGACGAUGUGCCUGGAGUUUAUUCACCAUGUAGAAAAUGUACAUUCUUUUCAGUUUUGAUGUUCUGCUGCUGAGGAACAUGAGGAGAAGACGAAGAGGAGAGACAGGAACAGAGACAACACUAUUGGAUCCACCCCAUCACAUCUGCUCAGAUGACUCAUGGGCUGCAUGCCACCCUAUAUGUCGAGCUUCAUAGCCAUCUGGAAAUGUUUUCCCCUAACAGAUGAUUCAAUGCCUGGACUUAACCUAAAAAUUGCCAGGAAUAUGUUGAAAGCUGCAACCAAACAGGCGGUCCCAUGUGGUAGUAAAGAAUACCCCUGAUCAUUACUGGCAGCCUGUAAGUGAAGACCCCCACAGUCACUGGAGCACUGGAUCAAGUGCUUUCCAUGCUGCUGACUAUAGACAAGGUGCAGUGGGUGAGAAGCCCAAGUUUUUUCAUUGGCUAAGGGCCUGAAGUACAGUUAAUCCACCGCUGUAUAAAACAUCUCAUCUGCAGACAACAAUAAAGACAAAUACUAGUCACCUCUGUGAGGAAUCAGGAGCAACGGGAUUUUUAAUAAUCAUCAAUUCCAAAUCUCAGCAGCUGCUGCAACGAUUUAUCCCACAACUAGAGAAAGUUUCUAUAUAUUUUACACUCCUUGUUGAAAACUAUAUAAAAAUAGCUGGAAGCAGAAACACUUUAGAUACAAAAUAAAUGUCAUUUAGAUAGGAAUACUUUCUAUUAUGACUUCAUUUAAGGUGGCCUUUUCAUUCAUGUUUACUCAGAUCAUGGAAUGCAAUUAAAGCUGGUGUCAGGAGAAGGGCACCUUCCACCA
Long non-coding RNA from Hyla sarda, 1296 nucleotides. RefSeq lists it as uncharacterized. NCBI's taxonomy places the organism in Eukaryota, Metazoa, Chordata, Amphibia, Anura, Hylidae. The transcript has 7 exons. The record is from RefSeq and is a predicted model, not a curated record.